This 457-nucleotide unclassified non-coding RNA is filed under the name Hevea brasiliensis (rubber tree). The record is from RNAcentral. Lineage: Eukaryota; Viridiplantae; Streptophyta; Magnoliopsida; Malpighiales; Euphorbiaceae.
GCAUGAGAGUGGCCCAACCACCCGAACCGUGGAUUUGGUAUGGAAGAUUUCACCUUCACUUGCUGUCCUAUAUAGAAUCUUUCUGUCUUUUCAAGUUUUGAAGUAUGUCCCACCCACAACUCCGGUUCUCUACAGAAUCCUACUAGAACAGAACCGUCCCAUUCAUUUUCGUUAUAAUUUAAUCCUUGUACAACACCAAUACUCCCGGCUGGCAAUGAUUUCCAUCCAUCGGUAUCAUCUUUCAAUUUCACCCAUUCUCCCACAGCAUACAUUUGCUCUACCUCAAAAUCUGCAGGAUCUCCUCUCCACCAUCCGGACAAGCCAAACAGCGAAACUCUUAUUUCUCCAUUAGCAUUUACAGCAGUCACAACACCCCUUGAAUUGGGAUUAGCGCCUCUCCAUCCCCAUCUCGGCUUAGCUAAUCCAGCACGGAAACGCACAUACUGGCCAAUUUUAA